RNAcentral lists this long non-coding RNA (286 nucleotides) under Vigna radiata. Its description in RNAcentral is "long non-coding RNA (VRAD_LNC014534)". The record is from RNAcentral. Lineage: Eukaryota; Viridiplantae; Streptophyta; Magnoliopsida; Fabales; Fabaceae.
GGGGGGUGUGCUUAGCUUUCCAUGGGGCGGCAUUAGUAAUUGAAUUUCCCCACAUGUAAAACUCAUUUGUCACGUGCUUCACAAGGCUUUCUAGAAGCCAAGCAUCUUUAACACAUGAUGAAUUAGUGGAUCUAAGAAUUCCUUUGGUGAGGCCGAGAGAUUCAACUAUAAAUUCUCUUGACCUAGCUUGUAUGAACACUUUUGGAUGAUAGUAAGAAAUCUGUCAACACCCAAUUUCGUCCGGGCGACUAAAUAAUAGGACUUGUUUUUGUUUUAUUUUAUUUUC